AGAGAAUCAAUUUUAUAAAGCAGGGAUAGAGUAUAUGAAAUGUCUAGGAAUCAGUAUUGAAAUUUUAGAUAGGGUGGCCAGAUAAGAUUCACUAAGAAAGGAGCUUUCAAGAAAAGACCUAAAGAAAGUGAAGGGGCUCACCAGGCGCUUAUCUGGAGGGAGAGUGUUCCAGUUGCAGGGAGCAGUGAGGUAGGGGCUUGCUCAACAUGAGCAAGGACAAGGAGGAAGCCAGUGUGGCCAGAGAAGAGAAGGUGAGGUUCAUGGGGGCCAGAUCAUGUCAUGUCAAUCAUAGGAAGGACCUAGGAAAGGCUAGUGAAUAAUUUUGAAUACAGAAGUGACACAAUCUGACUUUCUUUUAAAAGGAACACUCUGCUAUUGUGCUAAGGAUAGACUGCAGAGGCGAGGCUGAAACAUGGGGGACCAGUUAGGAGGCUGUUCCCAUAAUCCAGGACCCAGAACUCCAGCUUCAGAGUCCAGUGCUGCUAAGCCAUAGUUUCUUAGCACUUCCCCUGUAUUUUGAAUUGUUCUCAAAUACACAAGGCAAGCCUUCUUGAGACAGUUUCGAGAUUAACAACAUCUCAGGAUGAACUCUGUAUCCCCAGAGACUAUACAAAACCUGGCAUAGAGGAUGUGCUUAUGAAAUGUUAUAUGAAUGAUUGAAUUCAAGAACCAGCAGAGGAGAAGUGAUGAGCAGAGAAGUAAUGUCCAAUGUAUUCAUGUAUUGCCUGCAGUUGCUUUUUUCUUAAUUAAUUCAUUGCUUGGAAAUAAGUUAAUCUAAAUGAAUCCAUUCCUGGCCUUUAUGUAAGUUUGUGGUCUGGGUACUCACCAGCCACCACACCUGAAUACACAAUGGGAGAACAUUUUGGAGGGUGGCUGGGAGGUCAGCAUCGAUCCAGGGAGUUAUGAUGGUAGAAUAAAGCUUGCAUUUGCCAUCUUAAAGCACUGAUGGCGUCCAUUUCUCUUCCUGCUGGCACCAGGGGCCCUGGCUGUGGGAAACGAGGGAAAUGUUCCCAGAGGGCACUCCUGGAGAGCAAAGAUCUCGUCUGGUGAUGCUCCAUUUUUCAUUAUUUUGUGAUUGGCCCAAACCUCAGGACUGCUUACGAUAAGAGAGUAGAACUUUCUGUUAACUCGGAAAGAGUAUACAUCUGUGGUGAAGACUGUGCCAUCAAAAGG
Molecule: long non-coding RNA, 1173 nt
Filed under: Homo sapiens (human)
Lineage: Eukaryota; Metazoa; Chordata; Mammalia; Primates; Hominidae
Description: HSALNT0062739
Source: RNAcentral